This is an RNA transcript of Ipomoea nil (Japanese morning glory), 1610 nucleotides long. RefSeq lists it as uncharacterized. NCBI's taxonomy places the organism in Eukaryota, Viridiplantae, Streptophyta, Magnoliopsida, Solanales, Convolvulaceae. The record is from RefSeq and is a predicted model, not a curated record. The transcript is spliced from 8 exons.
UUUUAUAUGUACAUGAAUCUCGUGCGAAUUGACGCCCAAUAACAGCGACACUCUCCAAUCUCUUGCUUCUUUCCAAAACCCAGAUUUCUCUCAACACAGAGGGAUAGAUUAUAGAUAGAUGCAAGAGCUUUCUUAGCUUUAAGAUAUCACAUAUCAGCUCCCUUUCUUGCAAGUUUCUCUUUUCUUUUCUUCAUGCCUAUAUCCUCUUAAAUUCCCAGACCUUAAUAGCUUUGUAUUCAUUCUAAAGAUCGCUUUUUGGCAUCUGGGUUUGCUUCAUUCCCCUCCUUACUUUCCCCUUUCUUUUACCCAACUUUCUGCCCAUUCUUCAAAAGACCGCUUUUUGUCCCUCUCAUUUCGCCUUUGCUAAUCUUGAGGAAAAAUCAAGGAGGGGUUGUAUGAGACAUUAUUGGUUGUAUUAACUUUAUUGCUUCUAAGAAUAGCAGCUAUCUUAGGAUGGGAGAUCAUUUUGUUUUUCUGGUUGACCGUUUGCUCACCGAAUCGACUUUGGAGGCUGCAAUAGAGAGCAGGAAUCAGAAACAGUUAACCGUUGAGGAUAUGGCAAUAGAUUGCUCUUCUAAGGACUCUGAGGCCGUUUCGUCUCUGAAGAAGAUUGUUGAGUGCAGGAUAUGCCAGGAUGAAGAUUUCGACUCGAAUAUGGAGACCCCCUGCUAUUGCUGUGGUAGUUUGAAGUAUGCACAUAGGAAAUGCGUGCAAAGGUGGUGUAACGAGAAGGGUGACACUUUAUGCGAGAUAUGCAACCAGCCUUUCACGCCUGGGUAUACAGCGCCACCCCCAAUUUUUCGUCUCGGGGGAAUUCCAAUGAACUUUAGGGGAAAUUGGGGAAUUGCCAGAAGGGACUUGAAUUAUGCUCAUCUCACUGCAGUUGUUUCAGCUGAUCGGAAUUUCGUUGAUUCUUCCGAUGAUGAUUAUGCAGUUUCUACAUCAAGUUCAAAUGUUAUGUGUUUUCGUUCUAUCGCCAUAAUAUUCAUGGUUCUUAUAAUUCUCCGUCACACUCUUCCAAUCAUCAGUGUUCAAGAAUGGGAUUAUCCGUUCCCCUUAAUCAUGGUGAGUUGCUACUCCUAAGAAUUGCCGGGGUGGUUUUUCCUAUCUACUUUAUAUUCAAAGCCGUGACUUCUUUCCUACACCGCAGACAGCAACAGGCUAAUCAAUACACUCCUCCCUCUGAUGAAGAAGCUGGCUAGUACUAGUGUGUUCUUUACAAAGGUGUCGGGGUUCUUGAUAACCAUCCCGGGGUGUCUGCAAACACUAGUGUGUUCUUUACAAUGGUGUCGGGGUUUGGUAACCAUCCCGGGGUGUCUGCACUAUCGACCUCAUAUUGUUACCAUACAACAAUACUUCAAAUUGUGAAUAGUUUGGAAUGACAGAAGUGACAAUGUACAUCAAAAUUGAGAUCACAUACAGUGGUCCUCGAAAUCGAGAGGAAAAGAAAAAGAAAGUUAUUGAAAGUGUUGAAGAUUCUAGCUUGUUAGAGGUUUUAGGUGAACCAGUUGGAACUGUUAUUGUAUGUUCCAUUGAUCCUGUCUGUAUAGUGUUUUUACAAGGAAUGUAAACUAGUUUUUAGCUUUAUAUGUACAUUCUUCUUUCUUGCA